AGUGAACGCUGGCGGUAGGCCUAACACAUGCAAGUCGAACGGCAGCACAGUAAGAGCUUGCUCUUACGGGUGGCGAGUGGCGGACAGGUGAGGAAUACAUCGGUAUCUACUUUUUCGUGGGGGAUAACGUAGGGAAACUUACGCUAAUACCGCAUACGACCUACGGGUGAAAGCAGGGGAUCUUCGGACCUUGCGCGAUUGAAUGAGCCGAUGUCGGAUUAGCUAGUUGGCGGGGUAAAGGCCCACCAAGGCGACGAUCCGUAGCUGGUCUGAGAGGAUGAUCAGCCACACUGGAACUGAGACACGGUCCAGACUCCUACGGGAGGCAGCAGUGGGGAAUAUUGGACAAUGGGCGCAAGCCUGAUCCAGCCAUACCGCGUGGGUGAAGAAGGCCUUCGGGUUGUAAAGCCCUUUUGUUGGGAAAGAAAAGCAGCAGGUUAAUACCCCGCUGUUCUGACGGUACCCAAAGAAUAAGCACCGGCUAACUUCGUG
This 492-nucleotide ribosomal RNA is filed under the name uncultured bacterium. RNAcentral's name for it is "partial 16S ribosomal RNA". It matches the Rfam family "Bacterial small subunit ribosomal RNA", at positions 29 to 507 of the family's 1533-position model. The record is from RNAcentral.